This 445-nucleotide ribosomal RNA is filed under the name uncultured bacterium. RNAcentral describes it as "partial 16S ribosomal RNA". It matches the Rfam family "Bacterial small subunit ribosomal RNA", at positions 354 to 796 of the family's 1533-position model. The record is from RNAcentral.
GUGAGGAAUAUUGCGCAAUGGAGGCAACUCUGACGCAGCCAUGCCGCGUGCAGGAAGAAGGCGCUACGCGUUGUAAACUGCUUUUAACCGGGAAGAAACCCCAGGACGUGUCCUGGCUUGACGGUACCGGAGGAAUAAGCACCGGCUACCUUCGUGCCAGCAGCCGCGGUCAUACGAAGGGGGCAAGCGUUAUCCGGAUGCAUUGGGUUUAAAGGGUGCGUAGGCGGAGCGUUAAGUCAGUGGUGAAUUCCUGCCGCUUAACUGUAGACUUGCCAUUGAUACUGGGGGUCUUGAGUGCGGUUGAAGUGGGCGGAAUGUGCCGUGUAGCGGUGAAAUGCUUAGAGAUGUCACAGAACACCAAUUGCGAAGGCAGCUCACUAAGGCGAUACUGACGCUGAGGCACGAAAGCGUGGGGAUCGAACAGGAUUAGAAACCCUAGUAGUCC